UUUAGCGAUAACGAACGAGACCUUAACCUAGCUAAAUAAGCCCGGCCUAGCUUUGGCUGGUCGCCGGCUUCUUAGAGGGACUAUCGGCUCAAGCCGAUGGAAGUUUGUGGCAAUAACAGGUCUGUGAUGCCCUUAGAUGUUCUGGGCCGCACGCGCGCUACACUGACAGAGCCAGCGAGUCCACUACCUUGGCCGAAAGGCCCGGGUAAUCUUGUUAAACUCUGUCGUGCUGGGGAUAGAGCAUUGCAAUG
This 251-nucleotide ribosomal RNA is filed under the name uncultured fungus. RNAcentral's name for it is "partial small subunit ribosomal RNA". It matches the Rfam family "Eukaryotic small subunit ribosomal RNA", at positions 1319 to 1591 of the family's 1831-position model. Lineage: Eukaryota; Fungi. The record is from RNAcentral.